Molecule: ribosomal RNA, 508 nt
Filed under: uncultured bacterium
Lineage: Bacteria
Description: partial 16S ribosomal RNA
Rfam family: Bacterial small subunit ribosomal RNA
Source: RNAcentral
GAUGAACGCUAGCUACAGGCUUAACACAUGCAAGUCGAGGGGAAACGACAUCGAAAGCUUGCUUUUGAUGGGCGUCGACCGGCGCACGGGUGAGUAACGCGUAUCCAACCUGCCCACCACUUGGGGAUAACCUUGCGAAAGUAAGACUAAUACCCAAUGACGUCUCUAGAAGACAUCUGAAGGAGAUUAAAGAUUUAUCGGUGAUGGAUGGGGAUGCGUCUGAUUAGCUUGUUGGCGGGGUAACGGCCCACCAAGGCGACGAUCAGUAGGGGUUGUGAGAGGAAGGUCCCCCACAUUGGAACUGAGACACGGCCCAAACUCCUACGGGAGGCAGCAGUGAGGAAUAUUGGUCAAUGGACGAGAGUCUGAACCAGCCAAGUAGCGUGCAGGAUGACGGCCCUAUGGGUUGUAAACUGCUUUUAUAAGGGAAUAAAGUGAGUCUCGUGAGACUUUUUGCAUGUACCUUAUGAAUAAGGACCGGCUAAUUCCGUGCCAGCAGCCGCGGUAA